Molecule: long non-coding RNA, 2872 nt
Organism: Neoarius graeffei (lesser salmon catfish)
Lineage: Eukaryota; Metazoa; Chordata; Actinopteri; Siluriformes; Ariidae
Exons: 2
Source: RefSeq, a predicted model, not a curated record
UGUACGUAAGCCCACUCGUUUGGAACUGUGAACUUUUAUGAGGAAACGUUGCAUUCUACAGAGCGUUGCGAAGAGGGCCUUGCACCUGCUAAUGCUUUUGCGAUGCGGAUCAGAGCGGGGAUCAUACAGAGAUUUUAGGCAAGUUUACCCAUAUUAUGCAUAUUAUUUACUCACUGUGUGUGUGUGUGUGUGUGUGUGUGUGUGUGUGUGUGUGUGUUGCAUAAUGACAGAAUGCAGACUUUUCACGAUUCAAUAGCUUUUAUUUGCGAUUUGAGUUGCACAAGCAGCAAGUGUUUUCAGUGACUCACUGAUUUCAGUGAGCACAUUAGUGAGGUUGCUUAGCUGCCCCUUGAUGUCACUAACUGCCUGGGCAAUGUGCUUUUGGUUCUGUAGGACCUCAUCAGUUAAUACCCUUGGUGCCCGAGCCUCACGCACAGAGGACGACCUUGCCUCCUCCUGCACCAUCGCGGCAGGAGCAGACGUGUCUGUAUAAUUGAAAGAGCAGAUGCAUUAAUAAGCUACUUCUGUUUAAACCAAAAAUUUCUGUUUGAAACAAAGGUUUUUUUAAUCGAUUCAGUAAAAAAUGUUUAGAUUUAAAUUAUGCAUUAAAUGUGUGACCACUUACCUUCACCUUGGACGUUUGGUUCUGUUUCUGGGGGUUCUGGGGGUUCCACCACGAGGUCACUGUCAGUCACACCACUCACCACUCUGGAAAACGCAGCGUCCCCAAUAUGCCAGCAACCCGUUCAUCCAAGGCAGACAAUUUUUCAAGGUUUUGCCCUCCCCCUGUCACCAUUGUAGCGUGCCUGUAAGCGGCCACGCGCUUUUUUGCAUUUAAUUUAAUAUCAAACCACUUUUUUUUUAUUUCUGCCACAGUCCGUGGCUCAGAUCCGACGGCAUUUACAGAGUGCGCCACCUUCUCCCACACAGUAUUCUUUUUUUACUAGUAACGCCGGCUUCUAAACCGCAAAACAAUAUCUUCUGAUUGGCCUCAACCUCUGCGACUAAAACGUCGAUCUCCGUCUCAGAGAAAUUCCUCUUUUUUGCGCGCUUCUCCAUUAUUCCACCAAGGACUCAAUUACUCAUUUGCAUGGCUUUUAAAGGGGAUGUUAAUGCCAUAUAUGGUUAAUUGGGGGCGUUUCACAAUGCAAAUUAGAGUCAUCGUGCCCACACAAGGUGAUUUGGCAGGUGUGGGAUUUAUCAUUGCAGAUUACUUACAGGUGUGCGUAAAACCAGCCUAGGAACGUUUGAUAAAUGCCGAUAUUUUUGUACUUACGAACAUUCUAAAUUCCACUCGUACGACAGAAUUUAGGAUGUUUUCUACGCACUGUUGAUAAAUGAGCCCCCUGGACUGGAGAUGGACACAGCAUUUAAUUCCGAGGGAAACAAUUAGACCAAGCCAAAAUCUCAACCUAACAGCAAAUGUCUUUUCUUUCUUCUUUACCCUUGGCAACCUCUGAGGCAUGUGAAAAGAGUUAAUUUGAGAAAUUACAAAACAGCAGGACCCAGGACCCCCACAGGUGGAGCAGGCCGAAUCUCCCCUUUACCAAUUUAAAAUAAUUGUAGUCAACAAAUACACUCUGUAGAGUAGAGGGAUAAUGAAAUCUUGCACUAUGCCUUCUGUAAGGGUUUUGCUCAGCUUACAGUGAGAUCUGAAAUACAAGAAUACACAAAAUGAAUAUGCCAUACAAAAAAAAAAAUCAGUCUUGUUCUAAUGACAUUGUGGCGAUCAUCAGCACAUAAAAGGCUCUGUGACACAUUAACAUUCUACUAAUGGAAGAUUUUGUUUCAGUCACAUCAUAUACCAGUAAAUGAUCACCACUGACUGUACAAGUGUAAACCUGUACAUGUUCAACAGCUGGAAACAAAUAAAUUUUACAAAGGCAUUCUGUCUAAUGUCUAAACAACAAAUCGCACUACAGGUAACUGGUGGAUGUGACACUCACCUGUGGGGAGGAAAACAGUCUUGUCCUCAACAAUGACAAGACCAAGGAGCUAAUCAUGGAUUUCAGGAAGAAAGCUCUCCCUCCACAACCUCUGUAGAUAAAAGGCACCAAGGUCAAUGGCUUCAGGUUUCUUGGCUUGCACAUCAACAACCUGAGCUGGUCAGGAAACAUCCAGUCAUUGUCAACAAGGCACAGCAGCAGCUCUGUUCCAUCAGGUCACCAGAAGAAAGCUGGCCUGAAUCAUCAGCCUCUUACCGAGACCUACAGAGGUCUUGUGGAGAGCGACCUCAUCAGAGGUAUCACUGUGUGGUAUGGAAACACCACACUUGGAGAGAGGAAGGCCUUCCAAAGGACUAUUAAAUCAGCAGAGAGGAUCAUAGAAACACAGCUCCCCUCCAUGGACACUCUAUUAACACACCGCUGCAGGCAAAAACUGCAGGCUAUUCUCAAAGACACACAUCACCCUAGACACUCUCCAUUUAGGUGAAAGAAGCUCCAGACACCAACUAAGAUACCACUGACCAGAGAAUAUCAAAACAAACAGGAAGCACUUUUCUUCUCCCCAGCAGCUAUCAGACUGCUCAAAAAGGGCAUUCAGGUUAGAGUGAAAUAUCCUUUACCUGAUCAAAACUCUUUGAACAUUGCAACAAUAAGACUGACAGCGCCUCAUCCUCAUGCACAUAAUCACUUUAUAAUUUAUUAUAAUUCAUCAUCUAUGAUUAUUAUUAUUGAAGUGUAGUUUUUGUAUUCACUUUUGUAUUACUUUCUUACUCUUGUAUUACAUCUUUUGAUUGCUUUUAUUAUUGUUGAGGUUAUUGUUUUUAUCUUUAUUUUUUAUUAAUUGACUGAGAGAUCUGCACAAGAAUUCCAAUGCUCUUGUGCACCUGUACCUGGGCAAAUGGCAAAUAAAAGUCUUGAAUCUUGAA